This 433-nucleotide ribosomal RNA is filed under the name uncultured bacterium. RNAcentral's name for it is "partial 16S ribosomal RNA". It matches the Rfam family "Bacterial small subunit ribosomal RNA", at positions 29 to 507 of the family's 1533-position model. The record is from RNAcentral.
AACGAACGCUGGCGGCAUGCCUAACACAUGCAAGUCGAACGAUACCUUCGGGGAUAGUGGCGCACGGGUGCUUAACGCGUGGGAACCUGCCCUUAGGUUCGGAAUAACUCAGAGAAAUUUGAGCUAAUACCGGAUAAUGUCUUCGGACCAAAGAUUUAUCGCCUUUGGAUGGGCCCGCGUUGGAUUAGCUAGUUGGUGGGGUAAAGGCCUACCAAGGCGACGAUCCAUAGCUGGUCUGAGAGGAUGAUCAGCCAGACUGGGACUGAGACACGGCCCAGACUCCUACGGGAGGCAGCAGUGGGGAAUAUUGGACAAUGGGCGAAAGCCUGAUCCAGCAAUGCCGCGUGAGUGAUGAAGGCCUUAGGGUUGUAAAGCUCUUUUACCCGGGAUGAUAAUGACAGUACCGGGAGAAUAAGCCCCGGCUAACUCCGUG